Molecule: long non-coding RNA, 468 nt
Organism: Cataglyphis hispanica
Lineage: Eukaryota; Metazoa; Arthropoda; Insecta; Hymenoptera; Formicidae
Exons: 2
Source: RefSeq, a predicted model, not a curated record
GGAUGACAGGCCCUCUUCGCCAGGUUCGGCAUAGCAAGGGGCUCUUCGGGAUGCAUUUUGUGUGUUUCGCUUCUCAUGCCAGAAAUAUGCUGAAACAAUUAGAUUAUUAGUAAUGGUCUCGCGAGUGCGAGCGAUGUUCCUGGAUGGAAUCCCCACCGCUCUCGAAUGGGAACCAAUGGACGUCUGGCUUCUACUUCCCCAAUCUCCGAUUAAUCGCGUUCCCUCUUCCUUCGCAUCCGAUCGUCUCUCUGACCGUCAUUCGGAGGGGUGGCUGACUCACCCUCGGCGACGACUGGGAAUUCACGCAUAGCCGGCUGGCGUCGCGUCGGCGAAUUUGACAUUGAACGUGGCUUUUUCUUGGCGACGAUCUUUUUACAUCGUUCUACCAUCUCUUCUUCUCGUUCCCCAGCUGGGGAAACUCGCCUCGUGGAGGCAAUCUAUUCUCAACAUGAUGACGAGGGGGGAAGA